UGUUUCCUUUGUGUCUUGUGGGAUCAUUUUGUUCUGUCUGUGUGCCUCAUGGGUUUAUGUACAGUGGUGACAAGCGUUUGCUCUGAGUUUUUUUUGUGUUUUCUGGAGUGAUGUACUGUGUGUUCCUGCUCAUUCCUGCUUUCCUGGCUUCCAGCCCUGCGUACUAUUGGAACUACUUUGGAAAGUCUGGUUGGAACACCAGCGGUCACCAAAUGUCCAUCCUGUGAAGAGAUCGUCUUCACAGAAACCAGCUGCAGAGUGGGCGAGGCUACAUGGAUACUUUGUUACUUGUGCUCCAUAAUGGGGUGUGUCGCAGGCUGCUGUUUAAUCCCUUUCUUCAUGAGCCGCCUGAAGGACGUCCACCACCAGUGUCCCCAUUGCCAGGCAAAAAUACACACCUACCAGCCAUUUUGACAUGGAGGUUACUAUAUUAACAGCACUGGUGUGAUUUGUUCAGAAUGAUCCGAUGCGUCUGUGCUUGAGUGACCACUUCCUGAAGACUUGGAGCUGUCUGGGACUCGGCCUCUGCCGUUUGACUCCACAACUGAUCGUGGCAAUGUGCCUGGAGUCAAAUACAGUGCUGGUACAAACUGUAAAAAGGCUCAGACAACUUAAGGCAAACCUAGUGUUCUUUACUGUAAGUGAAAGUCAAUCAAUACUUUAAUGAUGUCUAGACUAGUUAAUGUGUCAGAUACUAAUAACUUUACACAAACUGACGCCUAUAUUUAAAAGGAUCAAUGCCCCGUUUUGCUGAUAUUAGGAUACAGCUUUGUGGUUUGUCUGUCAACACUCUAAUGAGCUUCGUGACCACUUUCUUUGGUAUAAGGAAAGUAUAUCUGGAAAUAUCUGUUAUCUCAGAGGAAAAUGGAAAUUCAUUGCUGAAAAUAUGCAAACACGAACCUGUAACCUGACAAAGAACUGUUUUCAUACACGGUCAGCCAUAACACAAUUAAAAUGUAGCACCUUG
Molecule: long non-coding RNA, 967 nt
Organism: Perca flavescens (yellow perch)
Lineage: Eukaryota; Metazoa; Chordata; Actinopteri; Perciformes; Percidae
Exons: 3
Source: RefSeq, a predicted model, not a curated record